CAAACAGUUUCAAUUUCCCAACGCCAACUUCAUUGAUGAUGGCACUGAGAUCACAGCAAACGUGACGUAUGUAUACAAAGAGGAAGAUGUCAACCACCCUAGUGGUUUUCUCCAGGAAGUCUUAAAAGUCUCAGGUCUCCUGACCACCACUGUUGCCCCAACAACAACUACCAACACCACACCACUUCCUACCCUUUUGACUUCAGUGACAUCAACAACUAGGUAAGCAAGAUAAUUUAUUAUAAUGUUUUCAUACAAUUCAAUUAACACUUUUUCAAUCAAGGAACCUUUGCAGCAAUGAACCAUGUAUAUCCAUGCUUGUGUCGUUAACUACUGAUGUUUUAAUUAAAAGCAUCCAAAAUGUCAACCUUUCUUUAGAAAAGCUCUUUGAGUGCAUCAGUCGGUCAAAAGGCGCAAUAUAAAUCCAAUCCAUUAUAAUUAAUGUGCUUGCUGAAGGCAAGACCACGAGA
This is a long non-coding RNA of Oncorhynchus masou masou (cherry salmon), 470 nucleotides long. RefSeq lists it as uncharacterized. The record is from RefSeq and is a predicted model, not a curated record. NCBI's taxonomy places the organism in Eukaryota, Metazoa, Chordata, Actinopteri, Salmoniformes, Salmonidae. The transcript has 3 exons.